UACGUAGGGUGCGAGCGUUAAUCGGAAUUACUGGGCGUAAAGCGUGCGCAGGCGGUUUUGUAAGCCAGAUGUGAAAUCCCCGGGCUUAACCUGGGAAUGGCAUUUGGGACUGCAAGGCUCGAGUGCGGCAGAGGAGACUGGAAUUCCUGGUGUAGCAGUGAAAUGCGUAGAUAUCAGGAGGAACACCGAUGGAGAAGGCAGGUAGCUGGGCUGACACUGACGCUCAUGCACGAAAGCGUGGGGAGCAAACAGG
Molecule: ribosomal RNA, 253 nt
Filed under: uncultured bacterium
Lineage: Bacteria
Description: partial 16S ribosomal RNA
Rfam family: Bacterial small subunit ribosomal RNA
Source: RNAcentral